UGGGUGUUAUUCAUUUGGUAGUACCAGUCCAUUCCAGCUAGGGAUCUGUCCCUUUGUUUUGUGUAUAGGACAAUUUGUUUUCAAUUUUUGUUUCUGAAAGGAAACUGUCAAGACAAAAUUCACACUUAAAAAAAAUUAAGGGAAACAGCCCUUUGUCCUUUUCUAACAAUCCCCCUCAAUGACUAAAGCUGGAAGAAUUGUAGAAACUGCGAUCAUUUUCUACCUUGGGUUUGGUUUUGUGCUGUUCUUGCAUUUUCUGAGUUUCAAAUCCAAUGCACCAAAAAGACUUCAGUCCCAAAUCACCCUGAUAACAUCAGUGUAACCUAGAGAUCUGUGCUCUGAUGACUAAAAUCUGAUUGUCCUUUAUUUAGAAGUGGAACCGGGGCGGCAGGGAGCUGAGAGCAGCCUGGGCAGUAUUCCCCUUUUCUUCUAGCACACACAGUCCCGCACUGGCUUUGCAGUCUGAGAAAGAACACGUAAAGCCUCCACAAAGGGGGUCCCUGGAACAGCACGUAUACAUCCUCGCUAGAAUCUGCCAGCGACCAGAUGCAAGUAAAAUAAAAUCGGGGGCGAGAUAGCUACCCAGGCUGAAAUCUGCAAUGGUGCCGAUUCCCUGUUUUGCUGUACCCUGGGUGUGCUCUGUCUGCUUGUGGUGGGAUCCUGGCUGCUGGGAGGCUGUGGUCUCCCUGGGGCAGGGGCUCAUCAGAUUUUCUUCCGUGUUGGUACAACAGCAAGUGCCGCAGGGACCUGGUCCUUGCCUGGGGCUCCUUGCAACUACAAAGAGUUGUUUAUUGUCAAUCCAAGAAAAAGAGGGGGGGGAGGAAAAAAAAAAGAAGAACUUUUGAAAAUAAUAACAGCAUGCAUCUCAUUUAAUCUUAGUCCUAAAAACUACUUCAUACUCAUUACAAAGGAAUUGAUUCCUUAAAUGAAUGAAGCAGCCAUGAGUGCUGCUUUCAGUGUGGGACUGCUGACGCUCUGACUCAUGCUUUGCUUCUUGCAGGCUCUGGCUUUUAUGCUUCAUUUAGGACACCAACGUCAUUAGCAUUCAGAGGGCUGCUGCUUCUUUUUGGUUAUUAUUAUUAUUAUACUGCUGUUGUCAUUUUUUCAAAAGUGCAACUCAUAUUUGGACCAGAAUCAUGGCUGAUGUUUUAUUACCAAAUCAGGGCAUGGGGUUUGCUUUCGUUUGACUUGCAAGCCAUAGAAGAAAUGCUAAAUGAAAAUAAGGUGUAGCUUUGUACGGUAAUGCGAGGAUCUCAGGGUUUUUUUGGAUGCCAGGCUGCCUGCUACUGUGGAGUGUCAUCCUCUGUCAGGAUGGGUGAGGAUAUUUUGUCUUGUGUUGGACAUGGCUGGGAUCCUGGUGACUGCCCCAAGCCUCGGCAUUUCCACUGCAUGCAGAGCGGCCGCGCCAGCCUGCCGUGCGUGUCCCUGGAGAUGGCAUGUUUGAACUGCAGCAGCUCCAAACAAGAUGCUGCUCUGUGUGGCUGAAUGUGGCGACUCGGCCUCUUUAUUUUGGAGCUGAAUGUCAACACCCGGGCUGGGGCCAGCGAGCGCUCGGGCCUGGGCAGGGAGCAGGGGAGCUGUGCCCUGGGAGAUGGCUGUGCUGCCACUCACAGCUCACCCCGGUCCUCAGAGACGCUCAACCACUGGUGGUCUUCCUAGCCUGUGGGAAGCGGGGAAAGGAGCCUUUGCUGAGGGACACAAUGUCUUUACUGCAAGGGGGGAGGAAAAAAGAAAAAAAAAGAAUGUCCCUGAGAGUCUCAGGGGUUCCUUGCUCUGCCACAAGCACCCUGGAAGCCCUCGAGCAUGUCACAGAGUCCCUCUCAAGGGCGAUAGCUUGCAGGGACACUUGCAAGCCCACCAUGGGGAUGGGGCCAUCCCAGCACCCUACAGACAGAGGUCAUGGGGAAACAACAGGGCAGAAUUGUGGGAAUCUGCCUAUGGUUUCUUUUGAGUCCACCUCCAUCAAAAUUCAAAUUACUGAUGAAUUAAAGGGAAAGUGUUGCUCCUUGUCCUAAGGACAUGCUGGGCUGGGCUGGGAUUUCCAGGAGGACUUGUGAAUGAGAGUUGAAAAUUCCCGGCCAACGACUUGGCACCUUUCUAGGAGGGAACCUAUAGAUCUUUUUUAGAUAUUACUUAAGCUGAAAGUUUUUGAGAAAUCAGUAGUAAUUCCCUAAUUAAAAUCCCGUCUUUAUUAAUAAAUUAAAAGCAACUGCUUCUGCAUUUGGGCAGACGGGUGUGACUUGUUCUUGCUGGGAGCUGGGUGCUGCGGCUGGGCAGCCCUGGGGUCUCUGCUCCUGGACAAAGCGCCAGUGCUCACCUGACAGCCAAUACCACGUGUAUUUGCAGAAGGUGUCCCUGCCUUUUGCCCCAGGGGUUUGGGGUGUCCAGGGCUGCUUGCAGCUGGGCCAGGCUCUGUUUGAAGGCGUUUCUGCCGAGCAACAGACGAGCCAUCUGGCGUCACACCGAAACGCAGCCUGGCCUGGCGUGCGCUGAGGAGGGAGCCUGCAGGGAUGACAAAGCAGUUCCACACCUUCCACUGGCCGUGUCAUGGCUGGGCACCGGGGCUCGGGGCGGCUCCUGGGCACGUCAGCACAGCCGGGUGUGCCAGCGUAAGACGGCAGAGCCAUGCUGGAGAGAAAGGCCCCUGUCAGACCUCUGCCCUUCUAGGGAUGGACUGAGCGGCAGCAAGAAAAAUGAGGGACUUUCAGGGGCAGCUGUGUUUUACUAACCCAGUCAUAAUGCCCCUAAAAAUCCUUAUUGUUCUUGCAAUGGUCAACUGUGACCUCCGGCACGGGGAGGCCUGGAAGGAAAACACUAGCACUCGGGGCUUGGCAAGCGUGGAAGGGCAGGCCUGCCCUGGGGAAGGCUGGCUUGCAAGUCGGGGCAGUGUUUCAGGCCCCAACAGAAAGCGUUUCUGUUGGAGUGGAGCUGAAGAGAUGUGGUGCUGUGAGUCGUACCAAGUAUGUACUUGUGUGAAGCUCAGGGCAAGUGGGGGAAACGAAACAAACCGAAGCGCUUCCCCUCCCUGCUGUGUGUGUCUGGCGUUUCCCCCCAGCAGCGAGGACUGCACCCGCAGGGACGCCCAGCCCCGCCCCAGAGAAGGAGCCGUACCCAAACCCUUCGGCCUCACCCCCGCAAUGCCCUGCUGUACUCCUCCUUCAGCUGACGGCGCUGUCGCUGCGCAGCUCUCCGCUCACCCGCAGCACCUUUCUCUGCGCUUUAUUUCUACUCUCAUUUUUCAGAUCAGACCAGGAUGCAGUAAUUGCAUGCAAAGAAGCAAUUGGAUAAACAGAACCAUAAUAUUCAAUUACUUGCCAUCUUUAUGCAUUCUAAUGCUUCAUUUGCAUUUCUGAGAGCUUCUAUAUGUUAAGCAAAAGUUUGUAUUUUCAUUGAACUCUGCAACAAUGUUCAAAGCUUUUAUCCUUUAAUAACGCUACCUUGGGGUACAGAUAGUCAAAUUAAUCUGGCCCCGCAACAGAAACAGUCCCUUUUCCACUGUCUGGUUGGUUUACUCAUUACCUUUUUUAAAAGGCUUUGUUUAAAGCUUUUAUUAUGUUUAUCAAUUAAUUGAUAUGCUUAUCAAUUAAUUCUGCUUCAUAUGUCAAUGGAUUAGAAAUGCAUGCUUUUUUUUUUCACAGUGACUACACAGACUUGCUUUACACAUCACUUACCUAUCUUUAAUUGGGUUAUAUGGCUCUGGAGCAAGAUUUACUAAUUUGUUAUUUGUUAUUCUCAGGAGCAUUUCAACUGCUUUUCUUAAAGCUGAAUUCUUUGUAAACGAGAAAUGACUAGAAACCCUGAACCGAGUCGCAGGCCUCGCUUAGCUCUGUAAGGCACGCUGCCGUGCUGACGCAAGGCCAGUGAAGGUAUGGUAUGAACGGGAGCUGUACCAGCUGCUGUGGAAUGAGUAUGUUCCUGUGGAGUCAUCCUGCACAGCUACUGCGGAAUCGCCAGCUCUGCGGUGUAAGCAAGCCCUAAAAGACAAUCCUUGUCCCAGUGACUGUGUGACUAGAUAAGACGAGACAAUGGGCAGGAGGAAGGCACCUUGCUAUCAGUUCAGGAGGGGCACUGUUCAGCCAGCUGGGAACAAAGCAACUGGGGCGCUCAAGGCCCCACAGGACUGUCGGAGUGUCCUUCCCUGCAGGCGGAUUCCAGAACGGGCCACUUCUGGAGCUGUUUGUUUCGGGGAUUCCUGCCUUGACACCUUUGAUUUCUGAGACUGCCCCAUCGUGGGAAGCCCCAGACUCUGCUCCUCUCCAUGAGGAUUUCUUCCUCUAGCAACUCCGUCUUCAUUUGAUACUGAAGAGGGAUGGAAGGGCUUGAGUGCUUCCUUGGCACGAUGGGCGGAUGGAAUUACUUUAACCUGUUCUGAUUCUGGUACCUACCAAGCCAACUGGACCCAGUCACCUCAACUGCUAACAGGCUGCAGAGCGACGGCCUACUACAGUGGAAUAUUCUUUGUGCUGAAAACAGGAAGAUCAGGAAUGAGGGUUUGUAACUUUUUUGGAAUGUGUUUCUGUGUUAUAAUUUUUAUCUUUAUCACCACCACCUUACUCAAAAUAAGAAUAUUUAGAUGUUAAAAUAAAUACAUUUUUGCUCUGAAAUGCUGGAAUACACCUCCCCAGCUUCUUCCUCUCUCAGCUCUGCCACUAUGAAGAGAACCCACUCAUGGAUUUUAGAGUCGGAAGGAUGAGCCUGAACCUCAAACAGAGUCACUCCUGCAAUUCAUCCUGAAGCCAGAGCCCUGAUGAACGGAUCUUUUUCUUAUGUGCUGUGGGAUUUCUGCCUAUAUAAAUGUCUGACAAGCUGUUCCAGUGCUUUAUAACCUUGUGUCUUGUACCUUACGGCAAGCUGCAAGUUCCUGCUUAUGCAUCUCGUACAGCCUCUGUGGAUGAAACCCUUCAUGUAUGUGACUGCAUGUGGUGAACAGGAGAGCAGGGUGGUUUGGUGUUAUUUUUAUUCUGUCUGUUCCCAAAACAGCUUUCCCAGUCACGCAGGUCACACACAUCCCCUCCAGUUGCCAUACUGCCUGUCGGCAUGGAGGGAAGUGGAGCAGAGGUCUGUAGGGACACUUGGUAAGUGGCCGGGGCUUAUAUGCAGGAUCCCUCAUGGCUAUCUUGCAGGUGGGAUCCAGCUCUGCUGGUCUCUCUUUAGGACAUUCUCAACAGACCCAUGAGUCUGUUUCUCAGGGCCCAGGCUAAGCCACUAAGAUUUCAAGAACAAAUCUGGCUGGUUUUGGUUAGGGUUUGGGUUUUUUGUUGGGUUUGGUUUUGUGGGUUUUUGUUUUUUUUUUUUUGAAGUUCAGGGUCAUUUAGCACCUCCAAUUUGGCUUGGAAAAAUACAGAAAUACCUAAAAUAAAGGUGCUUUGAAAAGUAUAUGUAGGCAAUCAUGGUUUUUUUCAGACUCAGUCUCAGGUGAUGUCAUUUGUUUUCUACUGCAGAUAAGCACAGCCCCAGACUUCCUUCAGGCUGCCAUCCCUAGUGUAUGCUAAGUAGUAUGAACAUCAAAGUAGAUGCUACUGAAAUAAACCGCCCUGGUAUUCUCAUGCACACAAUUCUUUCCCUGAAAAAUGUAUUAACAGCAGAUGAACUAAACUUGAGCCACCAUUCAUGCUACUUUGCACAUCCAUGAAGGGGCACAGCAUCUAGAUCGGUAAUUGUGUUAGAGACAGACCCGAAGCAGCAAAGACCAAAGGGUGCAGGGUAAGAGCUCAAUAGGGAAAAGAAAAAAAAUCAAAUUUCAAGUACAAGCAAUUCUAUUAAUGUCUUUCAAGCACUAGUGUUCUAGGCUGCAAGGAGUCUCUCACUGCAGGGGACACUUUCUGAACGGCCCUGUAAUGUUACCAGCUGCUUUUAGUGCACAACUCCUGUCCAGUAUGAUGUGGUACAUUCAGUCAAACAGAAAUUAUAUGUCAGCCACGUAAACAGAAUAAAAACAGUGCAGGAAAUACAUUUUGCCUGCAAAUUUGUUGCUUGCUUUUACUGAAGCCCUUUGGUACUUUGCUGUAGUUUCUGAUUAACAGCUGCAUCACAAAGGAAAUACAGUUAUUUAGGCAAACUUUUGUCAUAAUUUAAAGACUAAAUUUUCAGCAAGACUGAAGGAAUCCAAGCUUUCAAGGAACCUUUAAGAUUUAGCAGGUUGUUGUUAAGGUUGGUCUUUUUGGUCCAGAAUUAGCUCUGUUUAACUAAGAGAAUAUUUGUAGGAGUUGGUGGGAAACAAGUAGCAGCUUCUCCAGUGGGAUCACUGGGCCGACAUUCACAAGAGCUGGACACUGUUCUGGUGCCCAGUUUGUAUUGCCUGGAGUUCAAAGGUUGAUAUUUGGUACUUUUUAAAGAGGAAAACCAAAACAAACCCCUGGCAAAGUGAACAGACUUCCCUAAGUCUCAAGUUAAGCACACAAACUCAUCAGCUGAUUUAGGGUAGUGUGACUUGUGUGCAUGCCUUCGUCUCGCCAAGUCUGAAACCUCUGUUAUGGCAUUGGAGCAGGAUUUGUCUUCCUAACCUCAAAGCCCAGCAGAUAGAAAGUCCGCUUGUUACUGAGGCAGAUGCUGCUUUAUAUGCAGCUUUUGAAAAAAAGAAGAAGAAGAAAAAAGUACAUGCUUUUUCCUGACUGUUAAGGAUACAAGAAAAAAGACUGUGGUAUUCCAGAUAAACAGCGCUGCCAGGUGUAAUGGGUUAAAUCCCACAUUAUAACUGUCAGUAGUCCUCUCUGACUGUUUGUCAUGGUGCCCGUGACCUGACACAGUGUGACAGACACCGAAGGGAUCCUUGUCAACUAGUGUCCCUGCAAAACUUUCCCCACUUUUUAAGUUCAUAUUCCUGUAAACUUCAUUUACUCUCUGCAUGUAAAUUCAGACUGGUUCUUUAAGCUCAGUAGCAGCAUGUUCAUAGACAAAGGAUGCAAACAGAGAAAUUUAUAGAGUCGUAGCAAUCCUCUUUGUAAAUCGGGGUACCAGUGAGCCCACGGAGAUGGCCACGAUGCAUUUAUUUAUUAGUCUGUAAUUAAGGGAAGGCAAUGAAGCUUCCUCUGCACACCCCCGGUCUCCUCAGGCUGCUCAUCUGCCUCAUGAGAGAAGCUGAGAAGUACAAGAAUUCACUGCACUCCUGACUCUGUGGAUGAGCAGUUUGUUUUCUCAAACUGCCUGUGACUUUUGUUCAGCAUUUUUAAAGGAAAAAUUAAAAAAAGACUUACUGGUUCUACAGCCUAUAGUUUACAAAUACACUCUUAGUUCAUCCACUUCAGAUGAUUCAUUUACUUCUCCCACAACAGACUGACAUCCCCUAAUUAGUGCCAGCAUAUACAAGAGGCAUUUUUAAUCAUUACAUAAUAAAGUGGAAGAGACAAGGACUAAUGAUACGGUAGAGCCCAAUGACAUUUCCAGUGCUCCAUUAUGUAGGACAGGUUUUGGCCACCAGCCUGUAGGCACAACAGCCAUUACACAUUCAUACCACACUACCGGUUACGGUAUCUUCUGAUUCUUAUGUCUGGCAGCACGGAUCUUAUUCUACGUGUAGUACCAAAUUUUUUGCUCCACGAUAGAUGACAAGCAAAUCUAUGGAUUCCAGUGGACUUCCAAGUAGUUACAGCUUGCUCUUAAUUAGGGAAAGGAAGCCAAAGGAAUCAUGUGCAUUGGAGUCAAAUACCAUUUAUAGGAGUGGGAACUGCAUGUGGAUUUCAACAGUGAUUAAAAUAGCCAGGGACCGAGGCACACUAAUGAUUAAUGGUCUCCUCUGACCUGAAGACAUGUCCUACAGAAUCUGGCCCUCCUGAGAGACACUCCCGAAGUACAGUUUGGCUGAGCCCAUUUUAAAGGCAUGAGCAGGAAUUGGUUGGCUAGGCUUUAUCUUCCUUCGUGUUGUGGAUCAACUGUCACGUGGCUGGAAUCAUUAGAUCCUAUUUCUGACGUGUGUGAUGUACACAAGUAGCUCUAACCCAACCCGAACCAGAGAGCAGUGGUGUUUCCCCACCCCCAGCCUGCCCGGAGGGUGGGCAGCCUGGAGAUGGUACCGUGAGCGCUCACCCCUGCACGCUAAGCCUGGUGCUGCAGUUGGACUGAGACCAGCCCAAAAGUAUGUUAAAGCCACUCAGUUUUUCUGACUCUGUUCUUGUUCACAUUUUGUGACAGUGCUACUUCCUAGACCCCUGCCUGUCCCUCUGGCCAGGGGCUAUCUCUACCACCGAGGAGUGACAUUCCUCAGCAGCAGCAGGUGAUCUCCUGAUGGAGAAUCCUGCGGGACGCAUGCAGCUCCCAAAUUCUGCUGGAGAAUUUUCCACUCUUCCAGAUGUUUUCUGAGGCAGAUGCAGAGAGAGAGACACACACACACUGAUUUCAAACGUUGUGUUGCUUCUAAGCUGACCAGACCACACUGCACCACCCGGGAGAAGGCAAGGUAACAAGUGAAAAUGCCCCACCAGGAGAUACUGCUUCAGGCUGGAGCUCAGCACCUUGUAGAGCAGCAUAUCGCUGCCCUGGGUUCUGUACUUAACACUGGUCUGGUUGUGUCUCUGCUUUGCAGGCAUUUUAUUUUUAUCAUGGGUAAGAGCAGGAAUGUGUGUGUCUCUGUGAGAGAAUGAGCAUGGGGCUGCAAGCUUCAUCUCAGUGCAAAUAAUAUUUUGGCAGGAAACCUGCAGGAGAUUAAAUUAGGGGCCUAACGACUGAAUAUUAAAACAUGUCAAACUUGGUGUUCCUUUAAAUAAGCAGCUUCAAAACAAGGAAGCAGUCUGACAAAAUUAGCAGGUCCAGAGUGCUAAAGGAAUCCACUAUGGGUCACUUGUUUACCGAUGCAGAAUUAAAAGCACCUUUUUUAUUAUUUUUAUUGGUAGCUGUAUAUGUCAACAUGCUAUUUCCUCAAUGCAUUUUGAGUCCAGAUUAGCUAAAGUUUUAGGUGUUGGCAGACUUGCUACAAUAGAAGGGAAAUGCCAGUGGAAUAACUUUAAACAUGAUCCAAUCCCUGAUGAUUCAUUGGAUGUGUUAAAAUUUCCUUUGAGACCAUGUAAGUAAUGCAGGGACUGGAGUGCAGAGUGCCUGUGACUCAGCUCUCUGCGAGGCAACAGGAGGAUGUCAGAAUUACUCACUGGGACAGGAGGAAUCUCAUUUAUCUAUUUAUAGGCAAGGCUGAGAUGAGCUUGUACCAUUAAAGAGCCCAGUUUGCCAGUUCCCGUAAGGGGAGAAGGAGGGAAGGACCUCACUUUAGCUGUUGAGAUAAAAGCUUUAGUAUCAGCCUUCCUCCCCCCCUAUUUCCAAACCUGACGACUGGCCAGCUGUAUUUUCUCGCGCUUGCCCAAGCAGCGCAGGGCUCCUAGCCCCGGGCUCCUCCCUAGCAGUGCUCUGGCCGGGGGCACUGGCUGUCGCUCCCAGCCCUCCCCAGGGGCCUGUGGGAUUGCCCAGUUCAGUGCCCCAGGGUCCGAGGAACUGCCGCCGCAGGAGCAUUACUGUGUCGUGUAUCCAUCUACCAACUUCAUUAACGAAGUGCUCGUUAGAGGCCAGUGCCAGCUUUGCCAACAUCCUGUCUGCUGCACGUUUCUCUCUGAGGGGGUACAGCGUUACCCCUUGGCCGGGUGUUCUGGCUGCCAGCAUCAGAAGAGGAAAGGGCUGGGAGCUGAGCGCGUCCCCUGCUCCCAGCCGAGAGCCAGGGAGGCUGCAGGGAGGCAAGGCAGCGAUGCUGCCAGCAUCAGGACAGUGCUGCCUGAAGACGUGGUUUCAAUCAUGUAGACUCAGGCUUGGGAAGAGAAAGAUGAUGACAUUUUUGGGUAAAAAGCAAAAGCUCAAACUCACAGAAAAAUGUUUUAGAGGAACUGUUUCUGUAAUGCAACCAGACCUCACAGCACUCGCUUUGCCGUAGCUUUCUCAGCAAGAAAGAGAUCAGCACGUGGUAGGGGCAGUGUGAGUCUCAGUUACUGCGCUGCUUCAUCGCUGGGAAUGCAUUUGUGGUCUUAACCUAGGCUGUUCCCUCCAGUUCCCUGCACGUAACCACCACCGUGGCUGACUCCCUACCUGUGGAGUUCUCUAGGAACACAAGGCUCUGGAUUACCGAUCCAGUCUCCCACUAUUACAGUCAAUUACAUCAUAUCACACUUCUUGGCAAGCUAUUCCAGCACUUCAUUUUAAAUUUCCAGCCUUAAUAUCAUUUGUUCUUGUGCCAGCAUCAUAAUUUAGUUUAAACAAUUCUCUUUUUUCUCUGAUCUUUACCUAUCAGAUGUAUUUACUGAAAACAAUCCUAUCUCCUCUAGUCUUUGUUUUGAGAAACUAAACAAAUGAAGCUCUUCUAGUCUCCUCUUGUUCUAAACCCUCUGAUCCUCCUCAAUGGCCUUCUCUGUACCUGCUAAUCUUCCUUGAACAUGAGUGAACCUGUAUCUUCUAGGAUUGUGUUUGCCUUUCCAUAUCAGAUCAGUGGCUCACAGUUAUCCCUCGAAGCAAGUAAUUCUCUAUAUGUUUUUUUUUCCACCACCCUGCUUUUGUCAUUCUCAAGUGAGUAAUGUGAUAUUCCAGUUACUAACUUUUAACUGCAUUUUUAUACCUCGCCUAUUCUAUCUCAGACAAAUUCUGCCAUUCAGUUAUUGCUGAUUGAUGUCGUGAUCCUCCUCUGUAUUACCAAAGCCUGGGUCCUCAGCAAAUUUCUUUACUACAUUCCUACAGCUGUGCCAAAGUCAUUAACAAAACAAGUAAGACUGGCUCAGGACUGACCCUUGAGGAGUUCCAGUUAUUAACUGCCUCUGUCCGGCAUUUCUCCUUUCCACAGAGCUCCCUGUCAUUUGCUUUAGCAGUUCUGCAUUUGCUAUCCACACUAAUCCCCAUCUUCUCAACUUCAACUAGUAAUUUCCCAUGUGCUAUAAUAUCAGAUUCUUGACUCAAGUCUGGAUAGAGUAAAUCACCUGUAUUUCAUUUGUCUAGGAAAAAAAAACCACCAACCAGUCAUCAAAGAGAAAUACGAGGUUAAGCUGAGCUCCUUUAAUGUGCCAGUUCUUUCCAAAUCCUGGGAUGGAAAUCUGCCAGUGCACCUUGAACUGAGCACACUGAAUUCUUUAAGCCUUUCCUUCCGUCUUAUAUGUGAUAAUUUUCGUUCCCUUAUGUAUGUUCCUGCUAGACAUCCUAUCUUUGCUCCACUAUUCAACAAGAUCAUCUCUAUUUAAAAUGUAGGCAAAGUGGUUUUGACUCAUUUUUAGACCAUAUGUAGACUGGCCUAAUGUCAGCCCCAUUCUCACCCCAUAAUGACCACAUUUAUUCUCUUUUUCUCCUCUAUUUAUCUAGCUGAAACCUUCUGCCAUCUGUUUAAUUUCCUUUUCAAAGCCUGAUUCACAACUUUACUUCUGACAUUUCUCAUUCUACCCCUACAUUUCCUGAGCUCAGCAAAUUAAAAUCGGAUGACUAAGGCAAAUCCUGCCUCCGGUCAUCUGCCCCACCACUGUUCUCUGAUGCCGCCCUUGUGGCAAAGAUGACAGGGUAGCUCAGGAAGCAGGUGCAGAGCGGCUGGACUGCACACAUCACUGGCACGACGGCUGCUCAGGACCUGCUGUGUCAGCUGCUUACUCAGCCCCUGUGUCGGGGUGAUGGGCUCCAGCAAAGAGCCGAGCAGGUGCGCGCCCCUGCAGUGGUUCCCCUCCAGACAUCUGAUUUCAGUCCCUGGCCGCAUGCGGACUGAGCGCCCUCUUGCCGAUCAGACCCUCUGCCCACUCCUUGCCUGCUCUCAGUUAACUCCCAACAUGUGUUUGGGACUGGUUAUUUAUCCCACCCGUUUUGGAAUGUUUCCCUACAGGGUUUGUCCUCCUGCAUGUUCCAGCUAGUUUUGGAAUCCAGUUUCCACCACAUUCGACUCCUCGGCUCUUCAGUGCAUUUGAUUCCACUAAUUAGUUCCCUUAAUUUCUCAACAUUUGCCCUUUUUGAAAUGAAUGUGUUUGGUGUAUGACUACAGACAGUGCUGGAGAUUCACCCUAAUGAGGUACAUUUCAAAGCUCCUGUUUCUUAACCAGAGCCUUCAGAGGCUCCGGAUGACUCCCAGAACUGCACUUGCCUUUCCGUGUGUGUGAGCUCAGUAUCACCGAAACACUUCUCACUAUUAACUGGCAUUUUCAUUUUAUGGACAACUGAGAUGUAAAGAGCCUAAAGAUCACAUUUCAGAAGAUACGGCAUUGUAUGAGGAAUUAGUUAAGCACCUAAGGUGAACCGCAGAGCUUCCUGACCCCACUGAGAUCACUGCAGCAGUCUGACCUUGCUCACUCGAAAACUAGGUGUCUGUGCUUUGAAUUCUGUCCAGUUCUUGAAGAGAGCAAACACAUCCAGGCUGCAGAUGGACUUCUCUCAGACGCACAGCCAGGACAGGUCACAGCCGACAGCGGACCAGAGGAGCCCUGCCCCCAAAGCACUUGGCAAAACCAUACUAGUCACCUAAGCCCCUUUACACGUCCGGGCCUUACUGCCACGUAGCGUAGCGGUAUUGAAGGUGGGGUUGGGACCUCCGCAGUGGGCCACCAGCCCGCAGACGGAUCUUCCCCACUCCCUUGGGAACCGCCCUGGGAUCCUGCCCAUGACAGGCGUCCUCGCUUUACCUGCUUUCUCAGCUGCAGAGUGGCAGCAGCAUGGCCCUUGCUCCCCAAAACAGCGUAAGACUGACACGACCACAGCACUAAGGCCAUGCUGCCAUCCUAGACAGACGGAAGCGAUCUUCCACUGGCAAACUGGUGCGUGUUCAAACCCAAAGAAAGGGACGAAAUGGCAGAGCAAAACCGAUUUCUCUCCUUUCCUCUUCUCUCUGUUAAUAUACUUGAAGAUACCUUGGAGUGAGAGAAGGAUGUGCCCCUCUCCCAGAGCAUGUCUGCCUUGAAUGCCCACUGCUCCGCUGGGCACCUGCUGGCCUUGGCAGUGUCACAGGACUCGUGUUUUUCUAAAAGAGUAACCUCCUUGUGAACAGGCUCUCUGCUUUAGGAAACACAAAGCACUUUUGUCUUCCAAGUGUCCUAGCCGUCUUUUCACAUCUGUUGAUUCCUUCACUAACAUUUCUUUUUGGCCUUGGAAGAAAAACACAACUCCACAUUAAAGGGAUGGUGCACUGUUAAACCCACGGGCUGCACCACCCUUUGCUCCCCCCCUGCAAGGGAAGGCAGUGGAGGAGACCAAUAGGGGGGGAAAAAAGAGAGAAAAAUCUAUCGGCUGCUGGGCACAAAACUGCUUUUGCUUUCUAGUGAAAAGGCAGCAGAGCAUCCUCAGAAGCACAUAGCAGCUGGUCAAACAGGCCAGAGCCUGGAUGCCUGAGGCUUUCUUGUAAUCGUAGUAACAAGUCCAGGGGCCACAUUUCCAUUCGUCCUGGAAAGCCUCUGCAGCUGGGAUUGCUCAGGGGAGUGAGACACCAAUGUUCCACAACGCCGUAUGUUGUCUGUGGUGGGGAUAACACUUCGGCAAUCCCAGACUUUACAACAUCACCUAUCAAGGAUACCAAAUCAACAAAACACCCUUUCGUGCCGCUUCCGCACUGACUCCACAGCCCUUCUGGCUACUGGAGAGCCGGCGCUUCGCGACAAGGCUUCUUACGCUUCUGGAAGAGCUUAGGAGGGGUUGCAGGUGAUCUCUGCCUCCUGAGACCCGUAUCAGCUGCACACGCGCUGCUUCCCCGCUCAAGGCUAGCGCUAAGCCAAACAAAAGCGCUGACGCUACCAGUGGAUUACACUCACCUGUUUGACUUUGCAGAGAAGUAUUCACAGACCCAGUGCCAGCUCCAUGCCUGUCACCUCCCAGCAGAGACUUGCAACUGUGUGUGGCCUGAUGCAGCUGCAGAAGGGCCAUCUGAGGGCUCACAAAGCUGAAGUCCGAGGCACAAAGUUCAAGGCGAAGGUCCUGUCGUGACAGUGUGUGUGGUCAAGACCUGCCUGCCUUUGGGGAGGGGCAGAGAGAGCAGGACUGCACCAGGAGCUCUUUGGGCUGGACCCGCAAGAGGCAAUCAGCUCACUUUGGCAACAGCUAUAUGUUUUGGGGCACCUGUCGGCACUCAGCAUUCCACAUCGGGUGGCUGUGCUCCCCUCCUGUAGCGUGAUGACUGAGCUGGCACCUGAGAACAAACUAAUUAAAGCACCCUGCUCUCAAGACCUAUGUGACAGUGACUGCAGCCCUGUUCACUGAAAUCAGUGGGACUCUGGCCACAGGCCUGAUUCAUCUCCCUCCUACAUCAGCACCUUAUCUUACAAGUCCAUUGACUUCUACAAAAUUAGAGCUGUUGGGCCCUGCAUGUCCGUGAGGGCAUGGCUAGGCCAAAGGAAAUGGGGGCAGCAACGCUUGGACAUGAUAGAAAUGGAAACCUCAGGAAAGACUGUGUCUGCCUUGCACGCUUAGCAAGUUAGCAGAACAUUAACGAUGUGUCACUCUAAUAGAGUAAGUGCUUCUAGAUGCUUGGCUGAUUUUGGCAAGGGGCACUUUGAGAAGGAUAAAACUGCAUUUUCAUUGCUGAGAAUCUUCCUCCAGUAAUAAGAUGUGCCCCAUGGGAUGCUGGUAACAUUGGUAUUGUCUGCACAGAGUAGCUAGGGGCUAGGGUCUUCCAUUGCUCAACAGUAUAGACAAAACACUUACCCCUGAGUAUCACGCUAGUCUGGAUCCAGGAUUUACAAGCACAGGGACAGCCACAGGUAGGCUGUCCUCCAAUUAGCCCAUGAAUCUAGAAAGAAAAAAAAUGACGUAAUUUUGUAUUCUUUCCUUUGCAUAUAAAACAUUAUUAAAAUAAUCAGAAAAACAGAUGCAUUGUAUCAGUAACUGACAAAUCAAGAAUUUGGUCAUAGUUGCUCAGGAACCCACAGCCUUGUUGCAAUACCAAUAAUGAUUAUUUAUAGCCUACUAUGCAAGGAAAGUAGUCCAGAAAAACUUGAUUAUUAUAAUGUAAGAGCGUCAUCCCAAGGGAGGAGUCUAGUGCAAGGUGCAGGCAGCCAAGAUCUCACACCAUUUUCUUGUCUUAAAUUAUAAACUUUAUUGUAA
Molecule: long non-coding RNA, 14952 nt
Organism: Falco peregrinus (peregrine falcon)
Lineage: Eukaryota; Metazoa; Chordata; Aves; Falconiformes; Falconidae
Exons: 2
Source: RefSeq, a predicted model, not a curated record